GAUGAACGCUGGCGGCGUGCCUAACACAUGCAAGUCGAACGAAGCUUUUUACUCAGAGACUUCGGUCAAUGAGUAAAAAUGACUUAGUGGCGGACGGGUGAGUAACGCGUGGGCAACCUGCCCUUUACUGGGGGACAACAGUUGGAAACGACUGCUAAUACCGCAUAAGCGCACAGAACCGCAUGGUACAGUGUGAAAAGAUUUAUUGGUAAAGGAUGGACCCGCGUCUGAUUAGCUAGUUGGUGAGGUAAAGGCUCACCAAGGCGACGAUCAGUAGCCGGCCUGAGAGGGUGAACGGCCACAUUGGGACUGAGACACGGCCCAAACUCC
RNAcentral lists this ribosomal RNA (330 nucleotides) under uncultured Lachnospiraceae bacterium. RNAcentral's name for it is "bacterial SSU rRNA". It matches the Rfam family "Bacterial small subunit ribosomal RNA", at positions 28 to 339 of the family's 1533-position model. The record is from RNAcentral. Lineage: Bacteria; Bacillati; Bacillota; Clostridia; Lachnospirales; Lachnospiraceae.